UCAAAUUAAAUUAAGUAUCCAAUGCGGGCUUGCCACGUGGAAGCCCCUUUCUCACCCAAAUUAGGCUUUCAGAAUUGGGAUUUGGAAGGCUUGCUUCUGCCUCCUCUGCCUGCGCUGCGAAGUGUGCUGCUGCCAAUUGCCAUAGAGAUCUCUGUGCGCGAGAGAAAAAUUUCUCCUGUGAUUGCGUUUUGAUUUUUGGUUCCUCUGCUGUUUCUGGUUCUUCUGCGUUUCAGGUUGCGAAGACAGUGGAGAUCGAAUAACGAUUGGUGGUGGCCUAGCGAGUAGCUCGCGAAGAGGCGCUGGUGUGUUUGCAUGGUCUCUGCGGCGACAUUGACGAGGUGGUCAGGUUCUGAUUUUGUCUCACAGUGGUGAAAAUGUUGGGCGAACUCGCGAUUCGGUUCCUGCAAUUUGCAGUUCUCUCUACAGUGGCUGCCAUGGAAGCGUGAUUUGGUUACCGGAGAAGAUGAAGGAUGGCAUUCCAGGAGCAAUGUUUGGUGAUGGCAGUGCUUUUGGACCUUUCCAUGUGUUCUAUGAAAUGAGAUGACCACUUUGCCCUUAUUUAAAUUUUAUUUUCCCUCUUUGCACUCCAUUUUUUAAUUCAAAAAUUAAAAAAAUAUACUUCACACACGUUUUUA
Vigna angularis (adzuki bean) is the source of this 635-nucleotide long non-coding RNA. RefSeq lists it as uncharacterized. The record is from RefSeq and is a predicted model, not a curated record. The transcript has 3 exons. Lineage: Eukaryota; Viridiplantae; Streptophyta; Magnoliopsida; Fabales; Fabaceae.